Molecule: long non-coding RNA, 680 nt
Filed under: Homo sapiens (human)
Lineage: Eukaryota; Metazoa; Chordata; Mammalia; Primates; Hominidae
Description: HSALNT0091229
Source: RNAcentral
AAAGACGGAGGCCUUUGGAGGUUGUGGUCCCUGACACAGACUGAAGUUCCUCCACCAGGUUUACCCCAUCCUUCUGGAGCACGACGACUGUUUUGUUAAGUGUGACUCGCCAAAAGACCUUGACAUCUUCAAAGGCCCUGUGAGCAAGAAACCCACCAAUGCCUUAACAGAGGGUGUCAUCCCCAUGUCUAAUAGAGUUUAUUAUCAAAUAAUGGUACCUCUUCAUCCAAAGUAUACCAAAUGGUACCUCUUCAUCCAAAGUAUAGCACUUACUUUACCACUGAUGAUGCAGAAAAUGACCAAUUUUCCUCACUACAGAUAAGAGGAUUAAGCCUCAGGGCUUAUGUGGUUUUCUUUGAAUACACUCCAUUCAACAAUGAAUAAGUAUCCUAAUACUCUGUAUAAGGAAUGUAAAAACAAAUAAUAUUUUUCGAGAAGGAAAUAAAGGGCAUCCAAUUAGGAAAAGAGGAAGUCAAAUUGUCCCUGUUUGCAGAUGACAUGAUUGUAUAUUUAGAAAACCCCAUCAUCUCAGCCCAGAAUCUCCUUAAGCUGAUAAGCAACUUCAGCAAAGUCUCAGGAUACAAAAUCAAUGUACAGAAAUCACAAGCACCCUUAUACACCAAUAACAGACAAACAGAGAGCCAAAUCAUGAGUGAACUCCCAUUCACAAUUGCUUCAAA